AAAGUCAGAGAUUUAAAUGAUUUGGACAUGCACAGAGGAGGAACCCAGGGUAUAUAGGGAGAAGGAUGCUGAGGAUGGAUCCACCAGGCAGAAGAGAGGGAGGACAAAAUAGGAGGUUUCUGGAUGUGGCGAAGGAGGACAUGCAGAUGGUUGGUGUGACAGAGAAAGAUGCAGAGGACAGGGUGAGAUGGAAUGGAUAGUUCUGAUGUGGCGACCCCUAACGGGAUCAGCCAAAAGA
Thalassophryne amazonica is the source of this 238-nucleotide long non-coding RNA. RefSeq lists it as uncharacterized. The transcript has 2 exons. NCBI's taxonomy places the organism in Eukaryota, Metazoa, Chordata, Actinopteri, Batrachoidiformes, Batrachoididae. The record is from RefSeq and is a predicted model, not a curated record.